This 465-nucleotide ribosomal RNA is filed under the name Vreelandella stevensii. Its description in RNAcentral is "partial 16S ribosomal RNA". It matches the Rfam family "Bacterial small subunit ribosomal RNA", at positions 338 to 795 of the family's 1533-position model. The record is from RNAcentral. Lineage: Bacteria; Pseudomonadati; Pseudomonadota; Gammaproteobacteria; Oceanospirillales; Halomonadaceae.
CCUACGGGGUGCUGCAGUGGGGAAUAUUGGACAAUGGGCGAAAGCCUGAUCCAGCCAUGCCGCGUGUGUGAAGAAGGCCUUCGGGUUGUAAAGCACUUUCAGUGGGGAAGAAAGCCUUGGGGCUAAUACCCUCGAGGAAGGACAUCACCCACAGAAGAAGCACCGGCUAACUCCGUGCCAGCAGCCGCGGUAAUACGGAGGGUGCGAGCGUUAAUCGGAAUUACUGGGCGUAAAGCGCGCGUAGGCGGUCUGAUAAGCCGGUUGUGAAAGCCCCGGGCUCAACCUGGGAACGGCAUCCGGAACUGUCAGGCUAGAGUGCAGGAGAGGAAGGUAGAAUUCCCGGUGUAGCGGUGAAAUGCGUAGAGAUCGGGAGGAAUACCAGUGGCGAAGGCGGCCUUCUGGGCUGACACUGACGCUGAGGUGCGAAAGCGUGGGUAGCAAACAGGAUUAGAUACCCUGGUAGUC